GGAUUGUGCACAUGUGGGUGCACCCAUGGGGGCUGGAUUGUGCACCCAGGGAUGAAACCAUAGGGGGAGGAUGGUGCACACCUGAGAGCACCAACAAGGGGAGGAUUAUGCACACAUGGGUGCACCCACGGGGAUGAUUGUGCACAUGUGGGUGCACCUGUGAGGAGGGUUGUGCACCCAGGGAUGAAUCCACAGGGGAGGAUGGUGCACACGUGGAGGUACUCAUGGGGGGAGAAUUGUGCACAUGUGGUAGCACCCACAAGGGGAUGAUUGUGCACACGUGGGUGCACCCAUGAGGAGGGUUGUGCACCCAGCGAUGAACCCAUAAAGGGAGGAUUGUGCACAUGCGGAGGUACCCAUGGGGAUGAUUGUGCACGUGUGGGUGCACCCGUGAGGAGGGUAGUGCACCCAGGGAUGAACCCAUGGGGGGAGAAUUGUGCACACGUGGGUGUACCUACAGGGGGAGGAUUGUGCACACGUGUUAGCACCCACAAGGGGAUGAUUGUGCACACGUGGGUGCACCCAUGGGGACGAUUGUGCACGAAUGGGUGCACCCAUGAGGAGGGUUGUGCACCCAGUGAUGAACCCAUAAAGGGAGGAUUGUGCACAUGCAGGUGCACUCACAGGGAGAAUUGUGCACAAAGGAGUAGAGGACUAUGCACACCUGAUAGCACUCACAAGGGGAGGACUGUCCACACGUGGGUUCACCCAUGGGUACGAUUGUGCACGAGUGGGUGCAGCCAUGAGGAGGGUAGUGCACCCAGGGAUGAACCCACGAAGGGAGGAUUGUGCACGUGUGGGUACACUCACAGUGGGAGGAUUGUGCACACGCGGGAGCAUCCGUGGAGGAAGGAUUGUGCACAUGCGUGUGCACCUGCACAGACGAGCAGGGCUACAGGUGCACACUUGCACCUGCACAUGUGCCAGUGCACACAACACGCACAAGCACCAGUGUGCACGCAGACGGGUGCACAGGCGGGUGCACGCCCCCAAGGUGUGACACCACACGGACGUGCAGCACCCACCUCCCCCCCUGCACACGCAGGAUCACACCCACUCUGGUGUGAUCUGGUGGGGGGAGGGCACAACACACCCACAAGCACCGCCGUGCCCCCGCACCCAGGCAGCACCCAUGGGUGCCCCAAGAGCCCCCCAGGCUGGCACUGCAGACCCCCAGCAGCGGUAACGCGGGGAGGGGAAAGGAGUAAGUGUGGGGAAACUGAGGCAGGGAGCGGGGAGGGGGAGGCUGUGCCCGGGGUGGGGGGGGAUGGAAGCUGCAGCCAACUCUCCCAGAGGACCCA
Molecule: long non-coding RNA, 1301 nt
Filed under: Calidris pygmaea (Spoon-billed sandpiper)
Lineage: Eukaryota; Metazoa; Chordata; Aves; Charadriiformes; Scolopacidae
Description: lncRNA (ENSCPGG00000011982.1)
Source: RNAcentral